RNAcentral lists this ribosomal RNA (510 nucleotides) under uncultured bacterium. RNAcentral describes it as "partial 16S ribosomal RNA". It matches the Rfam family "Bacterial small subunit ribosomal RNA", at positions 28 to 507 of the family's 1533-position model. The record is from RNAcentral.
GACGAACGCUGGCGGCGUGCUUAACACAUGCAAGUCGAACGAAGAGCGAUGGAAGCUUGCUUCUAUCAAUCUUAGUGGCGAACGGGUGAGUAACGCGUAAUCAACCUGCCCUUCAGAGGGGGACAACAUUUGGAAACGACUGCUAAUACCGCAUACGAUCUAAUCUCGGCAUCGAGGAUAGAUGAAAGGUGGCCUCUACAUGUAAGCUAUCACUGAAGGAGGGGAUUGCGUCUGAUUAGCUAGUUGGAGGGGUAACGGCCCACCAAGGCGAUGAUCAGUAGCCGGUCUGAGAGGAUGAACGGCCACAUUGGGACUGAGACACGGCCCAGACUCCUACGGGAGGCAGCAGUGGGGAAUCUUCCGCAAUGGACGAAAGUCUGACGGAGCAACGCCGCGUGAGUGAUGACGGCCUUCGGGUUGUAAAGCUCUGUUAAUCGGGACGAAAGGCCUUCUUGCGAAUAGUGAGAAGGAUUGACGGUACCGGAAUAGAAAGCCACGGCUAACUACGUG